GAAUUGACGGGGGCCCGCACNAGCGGUGGAGCAUGUGGUUUAAUUNGAAGCAACGCGAAGAACCUUACCAGGUCUUGACAUCCUCUGACAACCCUAGAGAUAGGGCUUUCCCUUCGGGGACAGAGUGACAGGUGGUGCAUGGUUGUCGUCAGCUCGUGUCGUGAGAUGUUGGGUUAAGUCCCGCAACGAGCGCAACCCUUGAUCUUAGUUGCCAGCAUUCAGUUGGGCACUCUAAGGUGACUGCCGGUGACAAACCGGAGGAAGGUGGGGAUGACGUCAAAUCAUCAUGCCCCUUAUGACCUGGGCUACACACGUGCUACAAUGGACAGAACAAAGGGCUGCGAGACCGCAAGGUUUAGCCAAUCCCACAAAUCUGUUCUCAGUUCGGAUCGCAGUCUGCAACUCGACUGCGUGAAGCUGGAAUCGCUAGUAAUCGCGGAUCAGCAUGCCGCGGUGAAUACGUUCCCGGGCCUUGUACACACCGCCCGUCACACCACGAGAGUUUGCAACACCCGA
RNAcentral lists this ribosomal RNA (516 nucleotides) under Bacillus sp. (in: firmicutes). RNAcentral describes it as "bacterial SSU rRNA". It matches the Rfam family "Bacterial small subunit ribosomal RNA", at positions 907 to 1424 of the family's 1533-position model. The record is from RNAcentral. Lineage: Bacteria; Bacillati; Bacillota; Bacilli; Caryophanales; Bacillaceae.